Molecule: ribosomal RNA, 258 nt
Filed under: uncultured bacterium
Lineage: Bacteria
Description: partial 16S ribosomal RNA
Rfam family: Bacterial small subunit ribosomal RNA
Source: RNAcentral
UGGCGGACGGGUGAGUAACGCGUGGAUAACCUGCCGUAUACAGGGGGAUAACACUUAGAAAUAGGUGCUAAUACCGCAUAAGCGCACGGUUCCGCAUGGAACAGUGUGAAAAACUCCGGUGGUAUACGAUGGAUCCGCGUCUGAUUAGCCAGUUGGCGGGGUAACGGCCCACCAAAGCGACGAUCAGUAGCCGGCCUGAGAGGGCGGACGGCCACAUUGGGACUGAGACACGGCCCAGACUCCUACGGGAGGCAGCAG